This 490-nucleotide ribosomal RNA is filed under the name uncultured bacterium. Its description in RNAcentral is "partial 16S ribosomal RNA". It matches the Rfam family "Bacterial small subunit ribosomal RNA", at positions 30 to 507 of the family's 1533-position model. The record is from RNAcentral.
AUUGAACGCUGGCGGCAGGCCUAACACAUGCAAGUCGAAUGGUAACAGGAAACAGCUUGCUGUUUCGCUGACGAGUGGCGGACGGGUGAGUAAUGUCUGGGAAACUGCCUGAUGGAGGGGGAUAACUACUGGAAACGGUAGCUAAUACCGCAUAACGUCGCAAGACCAAAGAGGGGGACCUUCGGGCCUCUUGCCAUCAGAUGUGCCCAGAUGGGAUUAGCUAGUAGGUGGGGUAACGGCUCACCUAGGCGACGAUCCCUAGCUGGUCUGAGAGGAUGACCAGCCACACGGGAACUGAGACACGGUCCAGACUCCUACGGGAGGCAGCAGUGGGGAAUAUUGCACAAUGGGCGCAAGCCUGAUGCAGCCAUGCCGCGUGUAUGAAGAAGGCCUUCGGGUUGUAAAGUACUUUCAGCGGGGAGGAAGGGAGUAAAGUUAAUACCUUUGCUCAUUGACGUUACCCGCAGAAGAAGCACCGGCUAACUCCGUG